AGAAACUUAGGAUAAUCCAUACCAAACCGGAGGCCUUCAAAGCCUUAAAUAAGAGUUAGACCCUCUUAGUUUCUG
RNAcentral lists this transfer RNA (75 nucleotides) under Chauna torquata (southern screamer). Its description in RNAcentral is "tRNA-Trp". It matches the Rfam family "tRNA". Rfam says of the family: Transfer RNA (tRNA) molecules are approximately 80 nucleotides in length. The record is from RNAcentral. Lineage: Eukaryota; Metazoa; Chordata; Aves; Anseriformes; Anhimidae.